Saccostrea cuccullata (small rock oyster) is the source of this 738-nucleotide long non-coding RNA. RefSeq lists it as uncharacterized. NCBI's taxonomy places the organism in Eukaryota, Metazoa, Mollusca, Bivalvia, Ostreida, Ostreidae. The transcript is spliced from 3 exons. The record is from RefSeq and is a predicted model, not a curated record.
AUUUACAGCCUGUAUUGUAAACUACACUGAAAACAUACUUUACACACAAUUUUCAGCUCAGUAUUAUGUUAUCCUCUUCAUUCAAGUAAUAUGUAAACUCUUCUCGAAUGUAAAACGAACGAUCUACUCUAAACAGUAACCCAAAUAUGGCACUGUGUAUUCGGUUGAAUAGCCAAUCAUUUCAAAUCAAGUUGAGCGGGUCUGCAUCGUUAUUUUGACGAAGUUUGAAACCGGUGGUAAUUUUUUGACACUUCAUCUAGAUUUAAGAAGAUUCUUGCCUUGACAACUGCUCGAACUCCCGGGUUGGCAUGCUCUAAAGCAUGAUUGUCAUCUUCAAUUUGAGGGACUCUCACCUAAAGUCCUUUUACUGUUCCAUAUCAGGAAAAAGUUCAUGAGCUGAAACAUGCGAUUGGGGAAAAAGGAAAAGCAUUAGGAAAAUGCCUGCAUGGGGAGAAAAGUUUUGAACUCUGAAAAGGGAGGUGUGACAAAAACAUUUUGACACUUCUUGAUUUCCACUAAAACCAAUAUCCACAAGAAAGAGGACAUAGUUUUAUGUUGAUUCACAACUUUAAAUUUAAGAAUGUACAGUUGGUUUUAUUAUAAAACAUGUCACAUACAAAAAAACAUAUUUGUGAAAUGUACUCUGUCUUUGAUAUGUAUGUAAUUUGCAGGAUAGGAUGUGGGCAACAUAUACUGCCAAGAAUCUUGAUGAUUUUGAUCUUAUGUUUGUAAAAAAAU